Molecule: unclassified non-coding RNA, 205 nt
Filed under: Portunus trituberculatus (swimming crab)
Lineage: Eukaryota; Metazoa; Arthropoda; Malacostraca; Decapoda; Portunidae
Description: uncharacterized LOC123502289, transcript variant X3
Source: RNAcentral
AGCAAUCCUGCCAGAAACAUGGCCCACCUGCCCCACCACUGAUCUGGUGACACAUGCAGAGAUCAAUUUUGCAACUUGCAUUUCAACAUUCCUGCUUGAAGUGCGGAUCUCCUGCCCUUCAGCACACAUGGCCAGUCACAUGCCAAGAAUCCUGUAAUUCAUCUAAUAGAGCCAGCUCACCCUCAGAAUUCCUCAAGGGUGACAA